Dipodomys spectabilis (banner-tailed kangaroo rat) is the source of this 904-nucleotide long non-coding RNA. RefSeq lists it as uncharacterized. The transcript has 3 exons. NCBI's taxonomy places the organism in Eukaryota, Metazoa, Chordata, Mammalia, Rodentia, Heteromyidae. The record is from RefSeq and is a predicted model, not a curated record.
GUGAAAAAGUUAAGUGACAGCACCCAGGUUGGUCAAGUCCCAGUACCGGCACAAAAAAAUAAAAUGUAUGUAUGCACAGGAGAGCAAUGUCUUUCAGCAUUAUCCUAAUCAUUCCCUUUGACUUGAUAUCAACAGAUUACUGCUGGCCCUUUGGACUGGAUAAACCCACUGGGACUUAGUGGAAAUUUGUUGUUGGUGGAGGUGGGAAGGGAAUUGGGGCUGCAGGCAAGAGUGGGUUAAUGUAGUCUGAGCAAGUGACAUGGGGUCUCUGUCUCUUUGUGAUGCUCUAAAGUACCAACCACAGGGCUGUGGCUGCGAUUCACUGUGAUCCACGGGUGCCAGCCACACCUGAGCAUCGCUGCUUUUUAUGCUGUGUUGGUGAUGAGUCAAUACUUUGCUCUUUUUCUUCGUCUUUGUAGUGUUGGCCCAGGAGCCUCAGGCUUGUUUCAGCUAAUAUGGAAAUUCUGAGUCUUCUGUCUCUUUACCAUUAGGCUCUUUGAAUUGUGCAUAUUUCUAAUUUGUUUUAUUUUUCCACCGGUGCCAUUGAAGGAAUUAAUUUUUAAUUACACAGAAUGUUUGCCACUUGGUGGAAGAUGGAUGUUUGUAUUUAAGAAGCCACAUUUGUGUUCUAGUUCAACAUGAGGAAAAUGGAAAUGUUCAGUAGCCUGUAGCCUUCCCUGGGACAAGGGACAUUUACUGUGCUUGCUGUAGCUUGCCAUGAUUGUGUAUUCUACUGUUUUGCCAAAGUGUCUUCAUACCAAAUUGAAGGUGGUUUUAUAAUACGCCUCAUAGAAGUUCUCUAUAACCUUCUAAGGUAUUUCAUUUAAGAUAAAACUCUUAUUUAUUCAAGUGGAUUCAAUCAAGUAGAUUAGAAUUUCCAGAAAGUGGUAGAGUCUGUUUAGAA